This 501-nucleotide ribosomal RNA is filed under the name uncultured bacterium. RNAcentral describes it as "partial 16S ribosomal RNA". It matches the Rfam family "Bacterial small subunit ribosomal RNA", at positions 30 to 523 of the family's 1533-position model. The record is from RNAcentral.
AUUGAACGCUGGCGGCAGGCUUAACACAUGCAAGUCGAGCGGGGGAAGGUAGCUUGCUACUGGACCUAGCGGCGGACGGGUGAGUAGUGCUUAGGAAUCUGCCUAUUAGUGGGGGACAACAUCUCGAAAGGGAUGCUAAUACCGCAUACGUCCUACGGGAGAAAGCAGGGGAUCUUCGGACCUUGCGCUAAUAGAUGAGCCUAAGUCGGAUUAGCUAGUUGGUGGGGUAAAGGCCUACCAAGGCGACGAUCUGUAGCGGGUCUGAGAGGAUGAUCCGCCACACUGGGACUGAGACACGGCCCAGACUCCUACAGGAGGCAGCAGUGGGGAAUAUUGGACAAUGGGGGGAACCCUGAUCCAGCCAUGCCGCGCGUGUGAAGAAGGCCUUAUGGUUGUAAAGCACUUUAAGCGAGGAGGAGGCUACUCUAGUUAAUACCUAGGGAUAGUGGACGUUACUCGCAGAAUAAGCACCGGCUAACUCUGUGCCAGCAGCCGCGGUAA